RNAcentral lists this unclassified non-coding RNA (338 nucleotides) under uncultured fungus. Its description in RNAcentral is "partial contains small subunit ribosomal RNA, internal transcribed spacer 1, and 5.8S ribosomal RNA". The stretch from base 1 to 73 matches the Rfam family "Eukaryotic small subunit ribosomal RNA", at positions 1759 to 1831 of the family's 1831-position model. The record is from RNAcentral. Lineage: Eukaryota; Fungi.
GCAAACUUGGUCAUUUAGAGGAAGUAAAAGUCGUAACAAGGUUUUCGUAGGUGAACCUGCGGAAGGAUCAUUACUGAAGCACGAGGGGGAGUGCUGGCCUUUGCGCACGUGCACCGUCCUCACUUCACCCACACACACCUGUGCACCUCUCGAGGCGAGCCCUCCCCUGCCUGGAGCAGGGCCGUCCCCGGCGGUCGGGACUUGGCCCCGAGGGCUCGUCUACAAUUUUCACAAACGCGUCGUUUUGAUUUGGAACGUAAUCGCGGCUCUGCCGCAAAAACCAAUAGACAACUUUCAACAACGGAUCUCUUGGUUCUCGCAUCGAUGAAGAACGCAGC